GAGACCGUACUUCAUAGGAUAUUUUCUAUAGUAAGUUCUUCACGAGACAAGUGAGCAACGAACGCUGGGCAGUUCACGCGAAGAAGACACGCGUUUUACGGGUGAACGCCGCGUUAUUGCAACAGUAUUAAUUUACUGAGCGUU
This is a small nucleolar RNA of Papilio machaon (common yellow swallowtail), 144 nucleotides long. RefSeq annotates it as small nucleolar RNA U3. The transcript has a single exon. NCBI's taxonomy places the organism in Eukaryota, Metazoa, Arthropoda, Insecta, Lepidoptera, Papilionidae. The record is from RefSeq and is a predicted model, not a curated record.